AUACACGCACACACACACACACACUCACGAC
This 31-nucleotide ribosomal RNA is filed under the name Mammomonogamus ierei. RNAcentral describes it as "partial 5.8S ribosomal RNA". Lineage: Eukaryota; Metazoa; Nematoda; Chromadorea; Rhabditida; Syngamidae. The record is from RNAcentral.